UGUCAAUUUGCGACGAGGCAAGAUGCUGGCAUUGCUGCCAGUCCCGCUAAAUGCGCUCUCGGCAGCUCGACGGCAUUUGCUUCAUCGCAUUGAUAACGCUCG
Molecule: microRNA precursor, 102 nt
Filed under: Oikopleura dioica
Lineage: Eukaryota; Metazoa; Chordata; Appendicularia; Copelata; Oikopleuridae
Description: microRNA odi-mir-31 precursor
Gene: odi-mir-31
Source: miRBase by way of RNAcentral